This 384-nucleotide ribosomal RNA is filed under the name uncultured soil bacterium. RNAcentral's name for it is "bacterial SSU rRNA". It matches the Rfam family "Bacterial small subunit ribosomal RNA", at positions 26 to 398 of the family's 1533-position model. The record is from RNAcentral.
AGGAUGAACGCUGGCGGCGUGCUUAAGACAUGCAAGUCGAACGAAGCUCUUGUAGCAAUACGAGGGCUGAGUGGCGAAUGGGUGCGUAACACGUAGGUGACCUGCCCUGAAGCGGGGAAUAACAGUUCGAAAGGACUGCUAAUACCGCAUGUGGUUCCAGCCUUUUAGAAAACUGGAACGAAAGGUCGGCUUGCCGAUCACUUCGAGGGACGGGCCUGCCGGCCCAUCAGCUAGUUGAGGUAACGGCUACCAAGGCAACGACGGGUAGGGACCUCAGACGGGUCGACCCCCACACUCGGCACUGACACACGGCCAGACUCCUACGGGGAGCGAGCGAGUCGGGAAUAUUCGCCAAAUCGGACCGAAAGGCUGAGCAGCAACGCG